ACGGAAGGCAGCAGUGGGGGAUAUUGCACGAUGGGGGAAACCCUGAUGCAGCGACGCCGCGUGAGUGAUGAAGUAUUUCGGUAUGUAAAGCUCUAUCAGCAGGAAAGAUAAUGACGGUACCUGACUAGGAAGCACCGGCUAAAUACGUGCCAGCAGCCGCGGUAAUACGUAUGGUGCAAGCGUUAUCCGGAUUUACUGGGUGUAAAGGGAGCGCAGACGGCAUGGCAAGCCAGAUGUGAAAGGCAGGGGCUCAACUCCUGGACUGCAUUUGGAACUGUCAAGCUAGAGUAUCGGAGAGGUAAGUGGAAUUCCUAGUGUAGCGGUGAAAUGCGUAGAUAUUAGGAGGAACACCAGUGGCGAAGGCGGCUUACUGGACGAUAACUGACGUUGAGGCUCGAAAGCGUGGGGAGCAAACAGGAUUAGAUACCCUGGUA
This 434-nucleotide ribosomal RNA is filed under the name uncultured Lachnospiraceae bacterium. RNAcentral describes it as "bacterial SSU rRNA". It matches the Rfam family "Bacterial small subunit ribosomal RNA", at positions 341 to 792 of the family's 1533-position model. Lineage: Bacteria; Bacillati; Bacillota; Clostridia; Lachnospirales; Lachnospiraceae. The record is from RNAcentral.